RNAcentral lists this ribosomal RNA (497 nucleotides) under uncultured bacterium. RNAcentral's name for it is "partial 16S ribosomal RNA". It matches the Rfam family "Bacterial small subunit ribosomal RNA", at positions 28 to 507 of the family's 1533-position model. The record is from RNAcentral.
GACGAACGCUGGCGGCGUGCCUAAUACAUGCAAGUAGAACGCUGAAGAGAGGAGCUUACUCUUCUUGGAUGAGUUGCGAACGGGUGAGUAACGCGUAGGUAACCUGCCUUGUAGCGGGGGAUAACUAUUGGAAACGAUAGCUAAUACCGCAUAACAAUGGAUGACACAUGUCAUUUAUUUGAAAGGGGCAAUUGCUCCACUACAAGAUGGACCUGCGCUGUAUUAGCUAGUAGGUGAGGUAAUGGCUCACCUAGGCGACGAUACAUAGCCGACCUGAGAGGGUGAUCGGCCACACUGGGACUGAGACACGGCCCAGACUCCUACGGGAGGCAGCAGUAGGGAAUCUUCGGCAAUAGGGGCAACCCUGACCGAGCAACGCCGCGUGAGUGAAGAAGGUUUUCGGAUCGUAAAGCUCUGUUGUAAGUCAAGAACGGGUGUGAGAGUGGAAAGUUCACACUGUGACGGUAGCUUACCAGAAAGGGACGGCUAACUACGUG